Molecule: ribosomal RNA, 254 nt
Filed under: uncultured Pseudomonas sp.
Lineage: Bacteria; Pseudomonadati; Pseudomonadota; Gammaproteobacteria; Pseudomonadales; Pseudomonadaceae
Description: partial 16S ribosomal RNA
Rfam family: Bacterial small subunit ribosomal RNA
Source: RNAcentral
CGGACGGGUGAGUAAUGCCUAGGAAUCUGCCUGGUAGUGGGGGACAACGUUUCGAAAGGAACGCUAAUACCGCAUACGUCCUACGGGAGAAAGCAGGGGACCUUCGGGCCUUGCGCUAUCAGAUGAGCCUAGGUCGGAUUAGCUAGUUGGUGAGGUAAUGGCUCACCAAGGCGACGAUCCGUAGCUGGUCUGAGAGGAUGAUCAGCCACACUGGAACUGAGACACGGUCCAGACUCCUACGGGAGGCAGCAGUU